AAAUAAAAGUGCCCAAGGAUGGGAAUUAAACCCACAUUGUUCCGCUUACCGGGCAGAUGCCAUGUCCACUAGGCUUUUAUU
RNAcentral lists this transfer RNA (81 nucleotides) under Cordylochernes scorpioides. RNAcentral describes it as "tRNA-Thr". Lineage: Eukaryota; Metazoa; Arthropoda; Arachnida; Pseudoscorpiones; Chernetidae. The record is from RNAcentral.